This 957-nucleotide long non-coding RNA is filed under the name Penaeus japonicus. Its description in RNAcentral is "uncharacterized LOC122243074". The record is from RNAcentral. Lineage: Eukaryota; Metazoa; Arthropoda; Malacostraca; Decapoda; Penaeidae.
CGCUUCUAGGCAUUGGCAAGUGUUUCUCCAAUAGUAGCACGCAAUACCUGAAGAUCGUAGUUUCUUAAACGGUGUACACGAAUCAAUACAAGUUCAAGUGUUACUCACUACUACAACGAAGUCUUCUAAACGGCUUUGACUCUUUUCUAACAAUCCAAGUAACUUCUCAAAUUAAGAUUGAACAUCAGUGGGCCUCCAGUCCGUGUGAGACAGAAUGCAGCAGUCCAACAAGAGCGAGCCUGUCCCUAUGCUGACUCGCGUCCGCAGCAAGACGUUCAUCGUCACCAGCGAAAUGCAGGAAGUGCUGCCGAGUAUGGGCAGCGCAGUCAAGGGGCUUCUGACCAACUGGCUGAAGUCUGGGAGUCUCUUCGCCGCGCAGCAGAAAGGCUUUAUCCUUCCAGGAACGUGGACUCAGACCGUUUCUCUUACCCAAUGACAGAGGCACUAUGAGAUACGACAAUAUUCAUUCAGUGUCAGUCAAGAUCGCACUUCUGCUGAAGGGAUGCAGUGCUCUAACCAGCCCAAGAUGGAUUUCUUAACUAUGGAGCAUUACUGAUAUAUUAGAAAGUUCUUCGACUUGGAUUACGUAAUUAAGAGAUGGAAAAUAUUUCUUCGCAUUCUUCUUGUUUAAUCCAAAGUGACCAGGGAACUGUCAAGAAAAAUAACAAAGUUACUAAAAGUGUUAAAGUAUGAAGAUCGAUAAGCAAAUGUCCCUGGACCCCUUGUGUCAGGGUACGCUUCCAAGCUUUAAAAUGCUGUCACAUUGAUAUAUCUCAAUGAUUUUAUAAUCAGCAGAUAUAAUUCUUUCUGUACUAUAACGUCCAGAGUUUGUUCAUGAUGCGAAAUGUGAUGACAGACUGUUUACCAAAUGUGAUAUAUAUGUUUAAGUUUAACAUGAAAUGUACAACUAUAUUAUAUUUUUGUAUGACUUAUAAUCACUUCUAGUAUUAUUCUAGA